RNAcentral lists this ribosomal RNA (320 nucleotides) under uncultured bacterium. RNAcentral's name for it is "bacterial SSU rRNA". It matches the Rfam family "Bacterial small subunit ribosomal RNA", at positions 470 to 789 of the family's 1533-position model. The record is from RNAcentral.
AGACGGUAUUUCAGGAGGAAGCCCCGGCUAACUACGUGCCAGCAGCCGCGGUAAUACGUAGGGGGCAAGCGUUAUCCGGAUUUACUGGGUGUAAAGGGAGCGUAGACGGAGAAGCAAGUCUGAUGUGAAAGGCAUGGGCUCAACCUGUGGACUGCAUUGGAAACUGUUUUUCUUGAGUGCCGGAGGGGUAAGCGGAAUUCCUAGUGUAGCGGUGAAAUGCGUAGAUAUUAGGAGGAACACCAGUGGCGAAGGCGGUUAGCUGGACAGUAACUGACGCUGAGGCGCGAAAGCGUGGGUAGCAAACAGGAUUAGAUACCCUG